GGAAGGAUGAACAUCACAUAACCUUACUCACCUACAUACAUAUGACAAAAUUAACUCUUACUUAAAUGCUCUGGGGGAAAAUUCAUAAGUGGGCUACAAUCAAAUGACUGUCCAGGGAGGGGGAUUCCAACCUGGCCGGCAUAUUCAUAGGUAGGCAUGCUAACCACUACACCACGGAGCCAGAAGAAUUAGCCACACUAUACCAGGACAAAUAAUUCUUAAUGUGUGCCCUGGUAAGAUUCAUAUGUGCAGCCCUGGUAGUGGUUCUUAUUAUGUAACAUAGUGAGUCAGUAUAAGGGUAUUGGUGAGUAAGUUUAUGGCCCCAAGUGACUCAGUGUUGGUUUAACCCGUCCGCUGUGACUGGCACGGAUUUGGCCUUCCCUGGUAGCCUGGUAACAUACACUCCCAGGUCUUUAUCUGCCUCUGUGGUGGAUAGUGGAGUGUUUCCCAUGUGGUAUUGGUAUGCUGGAUAUCCCUUCACUGGUAACCUGGUAACAUACACUCCCAGGUCUUUCUCUGCCUCUGUGGUGGAUAGUGGAGUGUUUCCCAUGUGGUGGUAUUGGUGUGCUGGAUAUCCCUUCACUGGUAGCCUGGUAACAUACACUCCCAGGUCUUUCUCUGCCUUUGUGGUGGAUAGUGGAGUGUUUCCCAUGUGGUAUUGGUGUGCUGGAUAUCCCUUCACUGGUAGCCUGGUAACAUACAGUCCCAGGUCUUUCUCUGGCUCUAUGGUGGAUAGUGGAGUGUUUCCCAUGUGGUAUUGAUGUGCUGGAUAUCCCUUCACUGGUAGCCUGGUAACAUACACUCCCAGGUCUUUCUCUGCCUCUGUGGUGGAUAGUGGAGUGUUUCCCAUGUGGUAUUGGUGUGCUGGAUAUCCCCUCCCAAGGUGCAGGACUUUACAUUUUUCUUCAUUGAAUUGUAGCAGUCACUUUUUGCUCCAUUUCAGUAGCUUGGUGAUGUCUAACUGUAGGAAAUCCGCAUUCAAGGGGUUAAUUAACCUAGUAGCACAUUUAGCACGUGCUACAGGCCCCGCGGGAACGUAAAAAAUUAGUAACUAAAGUUUUUGCCCUUAGGCACAGAAGGCCAAGACAAAAUAAUUACUCAUUUUCCUAAUUUUUUGUAAUAUUAUUAUAAAUGAUAUUACAAUAUAUAACCCGGUAGCUGUGGGGAUCAUG
This is a long non-coding RNA of Eriocheir sinensis (Chinese mitten crab), 1172 nucleotides long. RefSeq lists it as uncharacterized. Lineage: Eukaryota; Metazoa; Arthropoda; Malacostraca; Decapoda; Varunidae. The record is from RefSeq and is a predicted model, not a curated record. The transcript is spliced from 2 exons.